Numida meleagris (helmeted guineafowl) is the source of this 4707-nucleotide long non-coding RNA. RefSeq lists it as uncharacterized. NCBI's taxonomy places the organism in Eukaryota, Metazoa, Chordata, Aves, Galliformes, Numididae. The transcript has 4 exons. The record is from RefSeq and is a predicted model, not a curated record.
CUACGGGGACGCGGCGAUCUCGGUUCUCCCUCAGAGAGCUCCGCUCUCGGUAACGGGACGGCGGCUCUUUUUCCCCGCUACCGUUUUCAGGGCGUCGGGCCGUGUGACGUCACAUCCUGUGCGGCGCUCGCGCCAAGAAGGCCCGGCCAGGGCUGGGGGUGUCCCACAGUGCGCUGCGGCGGCGGGGGCUCUUGGCGCCAAGGCGCGGGGCGUGGCCCGGCCCACAAUGCAGUGCGGGGCGGUGCGGGCCGUGCGCGGAGCUGGGGGUAGCUCUGCCCGUUACAUCGUGUGCUUUUUCCCGUCCCGUCCCACGGCCUCCUGCGGGGCUGCGGCUAGGUGUUUUCUGCGUCCUUGCCCCGGGGGAGGGGGGAGCAGCGCCCCGACCGCUCAGCGGGCGGAGCGCGGAGGCGGUUGGGACGGGUACGGCUGCGCGGAGGCAAAAUGGCUGCCCCGAGGGCACGGAGCGGGGCCCGGCGUCUCCCCCCGCCUCCGGGUGCCGCUGCGGGGCUCCGCCUGGGUAGGGCGCGGCCGCCCGGCUGCUUCAGGUCGGCGGUGCGGCUUCGGGAAUCAAAAUAAAGAGCAAACCGAACGGCUGUGCCUGUUCGCGUCCGCGUCAGUGAAUAGAAACGGAAGUGCGAAAACGUUGGGGACGGAAAAUCGAAGUUGAAUUGGGCGCAACGAUGGGCGCUUUGCGGGCUGCGGAGCGCUGCGGCUGCGGGCACUAAACGUCCUGGGGAGGCACGGAAAUAACGCCCCGCUAUGUUUGUUUUCUUUAGAGAUUGUAAUUUAUAUGAAGUCGUUCUAAAGCACUGGGAUGUUAUCCUUGUUAGUCACGGGUCCCUAGCAGUUUUCUUCAGGCAGCACAUGCAAUUUUUAAUAUGUAAAUUGCUUUUAACUAAUGAAGGUGCAAUUAGAUGAGCCAAGCUUUGGUUUUAAAACAAGCAUUCUUAUGGCCGGCAGCUUCUCCCUGGUGACACGGAAACUCAAACAUCCUCCUUUUUCUUUUCUUUUUUUCUUUUUUUAAUACAAUGUAAGACAUUUGUCCUGCCCAGGAGGGCAGGGCAUUCACCAUGCUCUUCCCUCGUGCUUGGCCUCCUGGAGAUUGCACUUUGCUUUUGCAGAGCCCCAUGUUAUCAGCGGAGCACUUAAAGCAUUUGGAAAGCUGGAGAACGUUUGGUUGCUUUGUCAGAGCCACUUUUGGCUUUCUGGAAAAAUGUACACGUGGAGAAUCAUUAAACAUUAAUUAUGUAGAAAAUAAAUUACUAGCUAAGAAAUGGCAAAUAGACUCAAAAAAAAAAAAAACACCAAAAGUCUCAACGAGCUGCUGUAAAAUGACAGGCUUCAGUUCUCAGAGCAGAGAACAGAGCUUUCAAGCAGAGUAUCGACCAGCAAAGCAAACGCGAACCAAGUCACCCGGCUCCUCUGGGUGGAGCUACGCUGGAGCACAGCUGGCUCUGAUCCCUCCUCCGCCCGCUCUCGGCCUCUCACAUUGCGAACGAAGCCCAGCAGGUUUGGUUUUGCUCUCGCUGGCAUCCUCACGACUUUCCUUCUCCCCUCUUCCUUCUGGAACCUCUUCCCACGCUGUUAAGCAUGCCCUCGCUCUGCUCAAGCAGCCGUGUGAUGCCACAGGGGCUCUUUGUGCAAAGACACCGCAGCGCUCUGUAGUGAGCUCACUAUUCAUUUUUACUGAUGACGAAACAGGAGUGGCGGAGGAGCGGCAGCUUUCCCAGGGCUGAGGCGAGAGAACCUGCUCCUAAAACGCUGCGGAAUCCGGCAGGGAUUAGUCCUAACUAAUCGCACUGCACUGCAAAAUAACAGCUCCUAAAGCCCAGACUGUUUGGGAGAAAAGGGCCGUUUUUAAACAACGCUGUGACCCAGAACAAUUUUUGCAGAACGGAGUUAUCUGAACUUCCCAGUCCCUGACAAUGGUUCUGGGGAACUGGGUUCAUUGGCAGAUCAGCAGUGACACGAAGCUGCACAGACAGUGUCUCUGGAGCUCAACGUGUUGAGCCAGGAGGUUUGGGGGCUUUAAUACUGAGUUCUCUCCAUGUUAUCCAUUUACUUGUGCAGAAAAGAUACCAAACUGCAGCUUGUAAUAGUUGCAAUAGGACAAUGAAUGUCUGCAAGGUGGAAAAUGUUUCCCAUAAAGGCCACAGUGGCAGAGCUCAUUUUAUUUAUUUAGAUGUAUGCAUAAGCAAAAAGAUUCAGUGUGCACAUGCUGUGGCCUGUCCCGAUGCACACCUUGGCUGUGCAAAUUCUGCCUGGGAGCCACCUGGGAGAAAAACACGGAUGGAGGUCAGGGUGAGGAAAGCUGCUGGAAGACCGGGCAGAGAUGCAGCCCCUGCACGCUAGGACCAGGGUCACAACAAAGUCAUGAAUGUGACUUGAAAGAUGAUGGCAGUUAUUUGCUAAGAGCGGGGCCGAGCAUGCCUGCAGGGCACGUGGUACGCAGGGCCGCAGUGCUGCUGUGGGGCACUCCCCGUGCUCCAGUGCUGCUCCCGCACGUGACGCCUGUAGCUAAGCUAACAGCACAAGGAUGAUGUGUUGGGUGAGAUGCUUGGGUUUUAGAAAUCCUGGAACACCGAUCAUAACAACACCUACGCCCCCGAAGCUGUUAAACACGACUUACUCAGAAGAGCCGUGACUGUAACAUCUCUGAAGCACUAUUUGUCUUGCUAGCAACAAUUAAAAGCUCAUUAACAAAAUGAGGUUUUGGUGGGAUGUACGCUGCCUUGUUGUCACGUUGCCAUGACUUCAGGGCGAGGUUCCCUUGGGUUCCUCACCAUGUGGGUGGUGUGUCCCCGGUGAGCCCCCAGCUGCUGCGGCAGUUGCUGUCCCUGUGGUCCCCGCUGGGCACUCCCCACAGUGCUCCAGAGGACGAGGGACAGAAAACUGGUAACGAGCACAGAACACAAACACAAGCCCUCUCCUUCCUGCCAAGGAAUGAGUCAACAAAAGGCACAACCAUCUCUUGGCUGCUCAUUUCAGCAUCUGUCUGUCCAGCAGGCACAUGAGGUCCGUGUGUACCAAUGUCCUCGUGGUCGUGCUGCCCUCAGGAGUGUGCAUUGAUCUGAGGCUUUUUGCUCUCCAAAAAUAGCCCCAAUUUGCCAGGCCUCAGUGGUUUGUAAAGGAGGUUUUCCAUUAGCGUUCUGUCGGACUGCAGGCAGCAGUGAUGUCUGUGCUGUUUUCUGCCCGGGGUGUUCAGUUUGGGAACUGCUGGAGCCUAAGUAAAGCACAGAAGUGUUGCUGACCUACAUCACAGACCUGCAUUCAGAGCGCCGUGGAUCCUUGCUGUGCUGGAGCAAGGUGCUUUGCAGCUUGUCCCUGUGAGGAGAUCUGAAGUUGCCAGGCUCUUUGCUUGAGGUACCAGCCCCAGAAGAGUGAUUAUCUGUGACUGCAAUGUCUCCAGACCAGGAAAUCCAUCACAGCAGCCCCACUGGGAUAUCUGUGCUCUGACCACAGCUGACAGCUCUUGACAGAGGGGCUUUGUGCUGAUACAACGAACGGUCAAAUGUCCCUCGUAUGCACAGCCACGAUGCCAUCAGGGUGCCAGGGGUGUCACUGCCAUGCCACAUCCCCAAGCCAUGUGAGAGCUGGGAGGUGAGUUAAAAAAAGAAACUGCUCUUCCACUGCUGCUGUUUUUAUUGAUGAUUAUUGGCAAACAGAGCAACUGAUGGCAGAGUCUGGAGAGGAGCAGGUACAGGAGUCACGAUGGAGGACGGAAGACAGAAGGAGUUGCUGCAGGAAGAGAAGACAAAGGCAGUGCUUGUACGGUCAUCUCUGCAGAUGUGUGGUUUCAUUGCAGAUAUUUCCCUGGCUUCAGGACAGGGACCCAGGCAGGAAAGCUGUUCCCGAGAACAGAGGAGCAGAGCCACGGCUGGGGCUGGAAAUGUGCCUGGUCAGGAAGCGCCUGGCCGCAGGGCAGAGCUGGGCUGGCGGAUGAGCACAGCCUUAGAUGGCAAGCAGCUCUGCACAGCCAGGCCCUUUUCCUCUUCAUCUCCGUGAAGUGCCUUAUAUAGUGCACCCAGAGCAAUUUAUAAAUAAAUGCUUUUUGUCACGAUUCAGGAACGCAUCUCCCAUUUGAACCACUUCCUCCUGUGCAGGCCAUGCUCCUUCCCAUGCACAGAAGCACUCAGCCCACAGAGCCAGUGCCAUGCUGCUACUGGCCGGGCUGUGAACCGGUCUUGCCCCCAGUGUGAGGUCCGGGGCUCCUGUUGUACAGGAUGGGCAUGGUCAGCAGCCAUGCACAGUUCAGUUUGCCUCAAGGUCAGCUUAGCCCCCACCACUGCCCCUGCUUCAGUUCGGCAUUAACUUUACAUUAAACUGCAGCUACCUCGACUUCGUGGCUAUCGCUACUGCACAUGAGGAUUAAGCAGAAAUUCAUGUCAAUAGGAAGGGCAGGAAUGGAGAGCUGACUCUUACAGAAGCUCAGAACACUCCCUACUAACGAAGAUCCAGCAGUGUGCCCUGCUGCAUGGCAGUGGGGGCAUCUUCCUGCCCGCCUUCCCCUCAGGUGGUUCCUUGGCACCUGCACCGGGUGAGAUGGAGCAACCAGCGUCAGGGCUGGCGGGCCGCCAUCCUGGCACAUGGGCCGUCCCGGGGACACCUGUACGCUCGGAGCACGUUUAUGGAGGGCACUUUCUGUCCCGCCACCACAGGACACCUACAUCCUUCUCGGGCACCGGAGCCCCAUGGAGCCCCAGGCCG